UACGGAUGGUCCGGGCGUUAUCCGGAUUUAUUGGGUUUAAAGGGAGCGCGGGCCGAAGGUUAAGCGUGACGUGAAAUGUAGUUGCUCAACAUCUGCACUGCGUCGCGAACUGGCUUUCUUGAGUGAGUACGACGUGGACGGAGUUCGUGGUGUAGCGGUGAAAUGCUUAGAUAUCACGAAGAACCCCGAUUGCGAAGGCAGUCCACGAGUCCUUUACUGACGCUAAAUCUCGAAAGUGCGGGUAUCGAAC
RNAcentral lists this ribosomal RNA (250 nucleotides) under uncultured prokaryote. Its description in RNAcentral is "partial 16S ribosomal RNA". It matches the Rfam family "Bacterial small subunit ribosomal RNA", at positions 524 to 773 of the family's 1533-position model. The record is from RNAcentral.